CAUAAUUAAGGUCACUACUACAAUAUAACAAAAUAAAAUGAGAAGGUGAAUCCCACCAAACCAGCUGUGUUAAUGACGUACCGUGAUUAGCUAGAGCAUCUGCAACCUUAUUCCCUUCACGAAAAAUAUGGGAAGAUCGAAAGGUCAUCUCCGAUAUGCAACGUAAACAAUUAAGCCAACGGACACGUAAAUGCCAAGGUACAAGCAAAGGAGACCGUAGAUAGUCUAACACAAGAGACGAGUCAACCUCGAACCAAACUUAAAAGCAUCUUUGAUACAGUAUAUAUAUAUAUAUAUAUAUAUAUAUAUAUAUAUAUAUGUUUCUGUAUUAAAGUGAGAUAAACCAAACUUAACGAAUUAUGUACUUUUUAUCAUACUUGUAGUCGGUAGUUGAGAACUACCUUCCCCGCCUAUAGACCAGUCAUGAAACUUGUAGACGGGCAUCCAGGCUACCUCGCCAUAAUGAAAUAUCAUCCGUGCCGCAUCGGGAAUGUGUUCCUCCAAGCUCUACAAGCGGACACCAUGAUAAUAGUUAUGUAUAGUUUGUCCCACAUUGGAAACAUGUAAAAGGAGGGAACCUUCCUUAGUUAUAAAAGGAAGGCUUCCCAUAUGUAGAAAUGAUCUAAAAAGGGACUGAAUCUCUCUCUCGAUCCCAAAGGCCUAUUGGCCAUGAUAGUAGAACCUUAAGUGGACGUAGCCAUGUUCUCCGAUGCCAUGGUGAACCACUAUAUGUCCUUGUCUCUUGCUCAUGAUUGUCUAUUGUUCGUAUUCCACCGUGAUUCUACAUAGUCCCCGGGAGUAUGCAGAAACAUUUGGCGAUGUCUGGGAAUCAUUACGAAAAGUCACGUUGCUCUGCCUCCGGGAGACAGUUUAUUCAAAUCCAUGAGAGCAAUAGGUCCAAUGGGAGGUGCACAAGCCCAGUAAAAGGCUAGCUAGUCAGCGGGCCAGCAGGUGCCCGACCAGGUCCAACAAUUAUCUGGCCCAAAUAUGUCAACGGGUCCAAUUAAGCAGAAACGUCCGGGAGUUGUGUUCUACCAAUUGCCAAUGCAUCGCUGAAGGUCCAGCAAUGCCAUCGCUCUCCACCCGCCUCCAGCCAUCGCUCGGGGAUGACAUCCGGGACCCGGAGUUUAGUUAUGCCGGUCGGGAACUUCGCCGGUGACAACCCACUCCUCCCGCUGCCCGCUCCGGAUUCGUUGAGCUCUUCAGGCGGUAGCUCGGGCAGGCACCGCCUAUCGGCCGGUAUGACGAUAAAAAGGACGAGCUAAGGGCACUCUUGUAGGGUCACCAUGAGGAUUGAUGAAGCAACCAGCCGACCAGUCGGGAUCACCUCCACCGCUUGAGUCCAGCCCGAUUAGUUCUCCCGGGCCAAGCUCAUCCAUCGCCGGUCGAGAGUGAUGCGUCGAGAGCCACCUGGUAGCGCCCGAGAUCCACCGACAACGUCGAUCAAUUGCCCGGCCGGGAUGGGCACUGCUGAAGCAGCUCGGUCUAGACACAUCUGGUCUCACCUGCAAAUUAACAUGGCACAUGGGUUCAACUCGGUCGAAUUCCUCUCCGGCUAAAGAGAGAAGAGGGAGUUGGUCUGAUCUUGGUGUUGAUCUGGACACCCAACGUCUACUCUGGGCACCCGCACUGAUAUGGGGAGAGCCUGGUAUAAACAGCAAGAAAGAUGAAUUCAAUAGCAUGGAUGUUCGGUUGAAAGUGAAAGAUAAGUCCGAGUGGAGAAGCCAUCAAAGGGGGACUAAGGUUCAAAAAGUGGUCUUGUAUCUGCAGACACCGGCACACGAAUAAAAAAGGGUGCCGCUAGAUGUACCUAUCAAAUUUCUAAGUAAACCCAGCAAGCUAUUUACACCCAGCAAAAUCAUAAAAUCUCUAAGUGCACCUAGCGACUUUUCAAAAAUGCCCUCCCUUUGUUAAAAGUUAAACCAGCAAAACUAAUCGAUUUCCUUCCUUUUUCUCUUUUAACACCUAACCAAAUCUGUCUCUUGUUUCCCUCGUUCAUUUUACUUCAGCCUUGUCUCCAUCUGUUGCUCCUUCUUCCAUCUUAAUUCGUCUUCUUCUUUAGUUGUCCGUCAUCACAUCAUCAUAGUUUCUGCAGAUGUUGCUCAGAUUGUGAUCGGUAUCAUAGGUAAUUAGGUAUGGUUAAGAGUAAUUUGGUAUGUAUUACAAUUGGAAUUAAUCUUGUAAGAUGGUUAACCAUUAAACCCACAUCUGAUAAAACCCAAAGCUCACUGAUACAAUCUACUUCAGGCUCACGCAUCCCUCGCCGCUGGCACGCCGAAAUCCAGACCCUAUCGAACUGGAUGGUCAGCCAAGUCCAGAGCUCAAACCAGAUGUUCUGAAAAAAUAAAACGUAAUACCCGAAAGGCAGAGAACUGAAAAUUUAGAUAGCAACAUAAUUGAUGAUGUGUUAUAUAUAAACACACAUUGUGUGUAUACUUAAUUUUGAUUAUGGGUUCUGGUUAAAGGUUUGCUCGGAUCAACAAUGUUUUCAAGUUGUACUGCUGGGUACAUUAGAAAAUACUGGGUUCAAGAGUGUCAUGGUUUGUUUUGUUAUUGUUUUAAUUAUCAUGACUGUUAUUGUCAUUUUACAUGAGGAUGAAAUUAUCUUUAUCUAUAAAAUUGUUUUGCUGGGUCUACUUAGAAGUUUGUUGGGUACAUCUAGCAGCACCUAUAAAAAAAAAAGAAGGAAAUUCUUUGCAGCAGUGAGAAGUCGGUAACCAUCGGGUCCCGGUGGCUUUCACAACAUAAGGGGAAAGAGAGUAGGCAAAAAAACAAAAAACAAAAAAAAGGAAGAAAGAAAGAACUAAAGGAGAGAGAAACCUAUACAACACGGGUAAGGCAACAUGAUUCUAUUCUACGGGAUUCUAACAUGAAGGUGUCCACACUAUUGAACCUCUUGAGUGCACCCAUUCAGCAGCUUACUACAAAGAUAAGUCCUUCGUUUUAUUAUCUUUUGUCGAAAGUUUAAAGCAUGUUUCACGUAUAAGUUUGUGGAAGUAUGCAUGCUCGUGAUGACACUAUGGUAUCUGAUAUGAGUUUAGGGAAGUAUGCAUGCAGGUUAUGGCAUCUUACUAUUAUAACACCAAUGCGGCACAUAUAUCUUUAUUUAUGUGUUAUUGGCAUUUGAUCGAGAGAUUGGCAUUUGACCGAGAGAUUGGCAUUCGACGUUCAGUAUUUGCACAAUUGCAUGAACCAUUGUGCUUUUUGAUAAUUAUUAUGCCAUAACAAAUACUCGGUUGGCCCCAUAUUGUGUUGAUCAAACUAUGCAAACGGCUAAUCGAUCAUUUGUUCAUUGUGAAGGAAACGUGAAAACACCUCGCCCAACCGAGUAAGUUUGGAAGCCGGGGGUCGGGAGGGACAUUUGUUCAUUGUGAAGGUACAACAAUCCUCGCCCGGCCGAGUAAGUUUUGAAGCCGGGAGUCAGGAGGGGCAUUUUUUUUUAUCUUGUUGCAGCGGACUUGAAGACUACGGUGAAUAUCAAGAAAAGCAAGACCCGUUCAACACACGUCCUGAGUACGGACUUGGGGGAUUGGGACUGGGACCGGGUAUCCGUUGAUAAAUGACUGGUCUAUGGGCAUUUUAUGUAUCAAGUCCCCACUCGAUCAAGACGUGUCUCGAACGGGAACUUGGGGGGACUUGUAGUCGGUAGUUGAGAACUACCUUCCCCGCCCAUAGACCAGUCAUGAAACUUGUAGACCGACAUCCAGGCUACCUUGCCAUGAUGAAAUAUCAUCCGUGUCAUAUCGGGAAGGUGUUCCUCCAAGCUCUACAAAAGGACAUCAUGAUAAUAGUUAUGUAUAGUUUGUCCCACAUUGGAAACAUGUAAAAGGAGGGAACCUUCCUUAGUUAUAAAAGGAAGGUUUCCCAUAUGUAGAAAUGAUCUAAAAAGGGACUGAAUCUCUCUCCCGAUCCCAAAGGCCUAUUGGCCAUGAUAGUAGAACCUUAAGUGGACGUAGUCAUGUCCUCCGAUGGCAUGGUGAACCACUAUAUGUCCUUUUCUUUUGCUCAUGACUGUCUAUUGUUCGUAUUCCACCGUGAUUCUACAUAGUCCCCGGGAUUAUGCAGAAACAAUACUUUUAUCAAAUAUUAAAUACUUUUCUCACCUUCUGAUUACUAUUCUCUGUUAGAUGAUCACCUUUUACUAUGUAUAAGAAAGAUUCAGCGAAAAUUAGAAGCCGUGGAAGCCGCCGCGACGCCGGCCACCCCAAGCUGGAGCUUUGUGACCAACAAGAAGUUCAUAGGCAGAUGAAGGCAUGUUCCGGCAAAAGGGGCGAGAGUGACGGUGUGGAUAAUGCCUUGGGCGCGAAGGUAAAUGCGGAUUGGGUGAAUGAGGGAGUUAGUGAAAAGGUCAGGCAGUGAGAACAUGAGAUAGGUGGUGAGCCAUUGAGGUAAUUUUCGGGACUCGGACAACAUACGUAAGAAUGUUCGAUAUGUUAAACCAAAGCGACGAAAUGGGGAGCAGGGAGCAAAGUAGGAGGAAGAGUACACAGCGGUGGAGCGUGACUGACAGAAGCUUUGGACGUCCAGCUCCGAAGGCUUGGGAACAAAGCGGCUCCAUACCUAAAGCUAGGCCGGAGAGUACGGAGUAGCCGGUGAUGUUUGCGUAUGCUAUGGCUAGUGGCCCAGCGGCAAGCUCUGAGUCGCCGAGGCGGCCGAGGAAGAGCAUGGAGAUAAUGGAGCGGGAGUAGCGGAUGAGGUCUGUGAUGACCAUGGGGAAGGCGAGGUUGAAGAGUGAUGUGGUCUCUUUAACUACGUCUGUGACGGCGAGUUGCGGUAGCUGCGGCUCGUUUCUUUCACCUCCUCCCAUCACGAUCAAGUGUUUUAUAGAGCACUGUAAAUGUAUUCUAAGCCUUCUAAAGAUAGACUGGUUUUCUUUGCCGUAGAUGGGAGGGAUAUAUAUGCCCAAGUAUUAAGAUUAAAUAGAGUAAAAAUUUUGAAAGUGUUGUAAAACAAAAGGAAUAGAUUGAGAAAGGAGAGAAACA
Molecule: long non-coding RNA, 4982 nt
Filed under: Fragaria vesca (wild strawberry)
Lineage: Eukaryota; Viridiplantae; Streptophyta; Magnoliopsida; Rosales; Rosaceae
Description: long non-coding RNA (FVES_LNC001093)
Source: RNAcentral